This 96-nucleotide transfer RNA is filed under the name Gemmatimonadota bacterium. RNAcentral's name for it is "tRNA-Gly". The record is from RNAcentral. Lineage: Bacteria; Pseudomonadati; Gemmatimonadota.
GAACAAUCCGGGGCCGCACCUCGGGCCCUAUGUGCUUCCCGCGCGCAUGCAGGCGGGCGAGUGACCUCGCGCGUCGUUCGCAUCGGCGGUGGUUCC